UCUGUGGGCUACUGGGGCUGCAUAAUUCCAACCUCUCCUUCUGUGUUUACAAGCCUUCUCUUCUGUGUGUUUAAUCUCCCUCUGCCUUUCUUUUAUAAGGACACUUGUCAUUGGAUUUAGGGCCCACUCAGAUUAUCCAGGAAAAUCUUUUCUCAAGAUCCUUAAUUUAACAUCUGCAAAGACCCUUUUGGCAAAUUAGGUGAUAUUCACCGAGGCUGUAGGCUGAAUUUUUCUCCUCCUUCAAAUUCAUACGUUGAUGCCCUAAGCCCCAGUGCGAUGGUGUUUGGAUCUGGGGUCUUUGGGAAGUACUUAGGUUUAGAUGAGAUUAUGAGGUGGGCCCUUCAUUAUAGGAUUAGUGCCCCUAUAAAAAGAGAUACCAGAGCUUGCUCUCCCUUUCUCUGUCUCUGUCUGCCAUGUGAGGACACAUCUAGAAGGCAGCUGUCUGCAAGCCAGGAAGAGUGUCCUUUCCAGGAACUGAAUCUGCUGGCAUCUGCUUUUGGAAUUUCCAGCCUCCCAAACUGUGAAAAAAUAAAUUUCUUUUGUUUAAGCCAUCCAGUGAAUGGCAUUUUGUUAUGUCAUCACUAGAUGACUAAGUCAAUAGUUUGCAGCGAUUAGGAAUAUCUUUUUGGGGACCACUAUUCAACCCAUUACAACUGGGUAUCAUUUGAAGCUUUUUGGUUAUAUUUUCAUUUUCACAGCCCAGGAUUAAAAGAGCCCUCGUCAGAUGUGUAUUUUGGAGAGGAUUACCAGUUUUCUAUGCAGUGGCUAUAUCUGCUGCCAAAGACUUUGCUGGCUGGGAAAACACUGAUUUCUUCAAGGGAAACGUCGUAAGGCAGGAGGGUGCAUGACAACUUGUAAAAGUGGGGUUGAUAACAGAGAUAGAAACACUCAGUUUUUCGCAUUGGGUUAGAAUUAUCUACAAGACAGUUUGAAGAUGGGAAAAUAUUUUGACCCAUCUCUGAUAGUUUAGAGUAAUAUUAAAAUUGACUACACAAAUAAAUAAAAUGCAUAUAGGGAUUAAAAAUACCUAUUAUUUCAUAUGCAAUGUAAUACGUUGCUUAAGUUCUUUAUUGCAGUGGAAACAAAAAAAAGAAAGAAAUACAGUAGACAAGCCAAAAUAAUUUGCAUAAAACACAACGGAAAGUGGCUGAGAAGAGGACAAUUUAGGAAAAUGAUCUCUCCAGGAAUGCUGCCAAGAAUCCUGUGAAAGUCUGGGUCGGUUGAUAAGCAGAUGUAGCAAUCGCUUAGUUUGUUCAAGUUUUCAUCAGUAGAUGCAGGUGCCUACAGGGUAAGUCGGUGCUCUUGAUCAUGAAGCUGCAUACUUACCUGGACCAGUUUGCAGGAGAAGCUGAAAGAGGAGAUCUGGCAGGAGCUAGAGGAGUUUGGGGCCUGACUGCUACUCCAACAACAAGAUAAACCAGCAAUUCAGCAACAACAUGCAUAAGCUGCAAUAGAUCCUGAACUCACACUCACCUUUCUAGGACAAACAGGGUGUUGCUCCCCUGUCAUUUAAAAAAUCAUUUACAAAUUUUAUUCGUGGCCAAUUCUCACUUGGAAAGAUAUAUGGAAGACAAAUGUGGCAAAGGGAGUUUCAGUUAAGCCAAAUUGAAACAAGAGAAAGCAACAUUUCAUUUAAUUUUGCAACUUUAAUGUAAUUGUGCUCUAAAUUGUGGACUUUGGAUUAAUAGCAAAAUUCCAAGUUGUGGAAUAUUAUCUUCUGGUUUUGAAUACAUCCUAGCACUUUAUCAUAUUCUAUAUACUAACAUUAUAUAGUGCUUAUUAUAGAGAGUGGGUUUAGUAGUCCCUAAUAUUCAUGUCUUUAUAAAAGCUGAAUUUGUAAUAUUCUUUCAAGUAUCAUUGACAAUUUCCUGUACCAAGCAAAAUGAUAUCAUGAUAAUUAAAAUUAAAAUUCUGACAUCUGGAACAGGAAGCUCAGUUAAGCAAAAUUUAUUCGGAAAAAAGAUGUCUUACCAGGGCUGUGUAUUAGACUUUAUUUUAGGUUAAGAGAAAAAUAUGAUUUAUAGGUUUCCUGAGACUAAAUCGUUAACACAAUAUUACAUACUAUAAGCAGAUAAGUUCCAAGCACAAUCCUUGGCAUAGUUUAAGGAGUCUAACAAAGAAAGAAGGAAUGGAAUUAAUGGUGAUGUUGAUGAAGAGGGAGGUUGUGAUGAUGGUGAUGUGAGAACACAACGAGCUGUAAUAAAUAAAGAAAAAUCAUCCACUACUGUUUUUAAGGCAUAAAUACACAGUAGGUCUUAUAGAAAACUGGAAAAGUCACCUAUUAAUCGGCAACUCUAAUGAUCAAUUUAUCUUGUAACCUUAAGGUGUGAUCUGUUCUUCAAAUUUAUCUUACUCUCUCCACUCGUGCUCCUUUGUGAGUUAUCAUACCCUUUCAUUAGCUCACCUAUCAAAUGUCAGUGACCUCUGUUCGAUUAAGGACUAGAAUAGAAUAGAAUAGAAUAGAAUAGAACAGAACAGAACAGAACAGAACAGAACAGAACAGAACAGAACAGAACAGAACAGAACAGAACAAUUUGGCUUUCAGGCUUACAUGGCAAAAAGCAUACCAUCUUUGGGUAGAAAGAAAUACCUUUAUUCAGCAAAGACCUAUAAACAUAGCAGACUUUUUGGUGUUGCCGACUGAGCAGUAUAGACCUGUAUCUGUUUUAGAUGAUUAUGUUACUCUUGCCCAUAAUGGUCCAAAAUAGGAACUUUUUUUAAAAAAGAUGUUGAGAGAGGCGAGGGAUUUGCAGGAUGCGCCACAGAGCCGUUUUGUUUUGAAAGUGUAAAAGAAGUAUAAUACAUAAUUUCUGAUUAGUUUUUUUAAAACUACAAAAUGUUGUUUUUUCCACUAUUCUUCUGAGGGAUGUUCACCAAUAUUCUGGUUUUCCUCUGGACACAUGGUUGAAUUGCACUUCCUCACUCCCCUCCCCAUAGCCUACCAUGCUUGCAGUUAGUUAGGCACAACCAAUGACCUGCUGUAGCCAACGAAAUGAGAGCAGAAGUGAAGUGUUCACUUAUGUUUGUCCUACUUCUUGCAAUAAGUAAUUUGAGGCAGUUGUGACCUUGGCCAUGGAUAUGGUGGUACAUCAUUUGCACUGUUAAGAUUAUGACAAAAACAUUGCACAUAUUCAAUUUAUUUCAUAUUAAAAACAAAUAAAAUAUUUUGAACUCACCAUAAAAUUGCUUGAUUAAAACAUGGCUACUAUGUACAUUCUAAAUAUACUUCUCUUUAUUGGAAAAAUAUUAAUUAAAAUAAUUAUUACUUUAACAGAAACUCUAAGUGAUUAGUGCUUCAUAAUGAUUGCCCACAGAUUUAGAAUACUUAUUAAUUCUAUAAUAAUGUAGUCUUAAGAAUUAUAUGUGUUUAACUUUUUCAGGCUAAAAUAAUGUGUUACGUAUAAAGAUUUAAUUGUAGGCACAUGACUCUGAACUCCCUUUUCCCAAGUGUAGAGAUUGUUGUGACAAGUCCUGAAAUGGAGCCUCCAUCAGCCUGAGUGACUACAAUGAGCUGAAAUCAGUGCUGCUCCAUUUGGACAUUCAAGAUGAGUGAGAUAAAAAAAAAAAAUUGUUUUGUGUUAAGCCACUGAGAAUAGGGUGGUGUUUGUUACUGCAGCCUGACAUAGCCCACCCUGACAAGUACAGAUGGCGGCCUGUAGUGCUUACAUACCAAAAAAGAAUAAUCUUAGAAUGCACAGUGUAAAGCCACUCAGUCACUUGUCAUAAAAUUUAUACGAUGAGAAAGAGGCCACACAGAUCCGCAGAUGGUGGACCAAACUCCUUGGUUGGUUGGUAUUGGGAGAACAAGUGUUAGGCCUGGGGAGAAUGUGUGGGUAUCCAUCUGUCUUUGGCCAAGUGAACACGCUAGUGUUCCAGGUCUUUAGGCAAAAGCAGAAAAGAGAUGACAGCUUUCAGCUCAACAGAUAACUUAAGAUGCCAAACUUUUCUGCUGUGUGCCUUAUUUUUUUGAAGAAGCCCAGAGAUCCCCAGUUCAACAAGUAACUAUAUAUAAUAAGCAUGAACUUAUGUUUGCCC
RNAcentral lists this long non-coding RNA (4035 nucleotides) under Homo sapiens (human). RNAcentral describes it as "HSALNT0205263". Lineage: Eukaryota; Metazoa; Chordata; Mammalia; Primates; Hominidae. The record is from RNAcentral.